This 1440-nucleotide ribosomal RNA is filed under the name uncultured bacterium. RNAcentral describes it as "bacterial SSU rRNA". It matches the Rfam family "Bacterial small subunit ribosomal RNA". The record is from RNAcentral.
GAUGAACGCUGGCGGCGUGCCUAACACAUGCAAGUCGAGCGUGAACCCUGCGAAUGAAACUUCGGUCGAUUUUGCAGGGGGAAAGCGGCGGACGGGUGAGUAACGCGUAGGUAACCUGCCCCAUACUGAGGGAUAGCCUCGGGAAACCGGGAUUAAUACCUCAUAACACCGUAUAUUCGCAUGGAUGUGCGGUCAAAGAUUUAUCGGUAUGGGAUGGGCCUGCGUCUGAUUAGCUGGUUGGUGGGGUAACGGCCUACCAAGGCGACGAUCAGUAGCCGACCUGAGAGGGUGAUCGGCCACAUUGGAACUGAGACACGGUCCAAACUCCUACGGGAGGCAGCAGUGGGGAAUAUUGCACAAUGGGCGAAAGCCUGAUGCAGCAACGCCGCGUGAGCGAAGAAGGCCUUUGGGUCGUAAAGCUCUGUCGGGUAGGAAGAUAAUGACGGUACUACCCGAGGAAGCCCCGGCUAACUACGUGCCAGCAGCCGCGGUAAUACGUAGGGGGCGAGCGUUAUCCGGAAUUACUGGGCGUAAAGAGUGCGUAGGUGGCUGCUUAAGCGUGAGGUGAAAGGCAAUGGCUUAACCAUUGUGAGCCUCGCGAACUGGGUGGCUUGAGUGCAGGAGAGGAAAGCGGAAUUCCUAGUGUAGCGGUGAAAUGCGUAGAUAUUAGGAGGAACACCAGUGGCGAAGGCGGCUUUCUGGACUGCAACUGACACUGAGGCACGAAAGCGUGGGGAGCAAACAGGAUUAGAUGCCCUGGUAGUCCACGCCGUAAACGAUGAGCACUAGGUGUCGGGGUCGCAAGACUUCGGUGCCGCAGUUAACGCAUUAAGUGCUCCGCCUGGGGAGUACGCACGCAAGUGUGAAACUCAAAGGAAUUGACGGGGACCCGCACAAGCAGCGGAGCAUGUGGUUUAAUUCGAAGCAACGCGAAGAACCUUACCAGGGCUUGACAUCCCUCUGACAGGUGGGUAACGCCACCCUCUCUUCGGAGCAGAGGUGACAGGUGGUGCAUGGUUGUCGUCAGCUCGUGUCGUGAGAUGUUGGGUUAAGUCCCGCAACGAGCGCAACCCUUGUCAUUAGUUGCCAUCAGGUGAUGCUGGGCACUCUAAUGAGACUGCCGGGGAUAACUCGGAGGAAGGUGGGGAUGACGUCAAAUCAUCAUGCCCCUUAUGUUCUGGGCUACACACGUGCUACAAUGGCCGGUACAGCGAGAGGCGAACCCGCGAGGGGGAGCAAAACUCCAAAACCGGUCCCAGUUCGGAUUGCAGGCUGAAACUCGCCUGCAUGAAGUCGGAGUUGCUAGUAAUCGCGAAUCAGCAUGUCGCGGUGAAUGCGUUCCCGGGUCUUGUACACACCGCCCGUCACACCACGGAAGUUGGGGGCGCCCGAAGUCGGUCAGUAAAUAGGCUGCCUAAGGCGAAACCAAUGACUGGGGUG